This 3508-nucleotide long non-coding RNA is filed under the name Malus domestica (apple). RNAcentral describes it as "long non-coding RNA (MDOM_LNC010116)". Lineage: Eukaryota; Viridiplantae; Streptophyta; Magnoliopsida; Rosales; Rosaceae. The record is from RNAcentral.
GAUGAUUAAUUGAAUAAUUUGUAAUGAAAAAAACAGGGAUGAGAGGGGGGGCAUGUGCCCCCACUGGGCCUUACCUCCCUCCGUCCAUGUGAGUCUGCGAUUUUCUACCACUUCGUCAGCCCGUCUUUUGGUCUCAAAUCCUUUCUUUUUCUUUCGCAAAAUUGUCUUAGUAGAGGUCCAGCGUUUGAUUUUUGUUUUUUUGGAUUUAGUUUCCAGUCUCUCCCGUUAUUGAAUGCUUUGUUGUUGGGCGUUUUCUUCUCAUCUUGCGAUCGUCGGGGAAGAACUUUAAGGUUAGUUUGUUCUUCGUGUUUUAUCCUCAUUUUGCUAUCUCUAGGCCAAGAAAUUUAAGGUCUUUGUUUUUGUUUUUUCUGCGGAUCUGCAGGUUGGGACAAAGUUUUUGUGAAAUUGGUGACUAAUCGCAUGCUGCCUCUUCAGAUUAUUGACAAAGAAAAUUAUAUUGAGCUUGGGUAUGUUUUACAACAACUACGUGUAAUUUUCGAUUCUCAGUUUGUAUUUGUUUGAAAGGAACCCUGAAAAAAACUGUGGCAAUUUGGUUCUCUGUUGUGUUUAUGCUGGCUGUAACAAAUUGGUUUACCGUGUGUAUAAUUUUUUGCUACAAAAUUGGUACAUUCUAAUCGUUCUUAAAAAAAAGACUCAAUUUGUUUUCCAAUUAUUUUUUAGAGUUGUUUUCGUUAUUGGUUUAAAUCAAUGUCCAGAAACCAAAAAGCUUUCAAAAGCAAAGGAUUUAACAUUACUUAAGGGUUUUACAGAGGUUUAAAAGCUUGAAUGCUUAAUUAAAGUUUUGUUUAGAUCAAUGUAUAGAGACGAAAAAGGUUUGAAAAGGAAAGUAUUUCAGAUUGCUUGAAGCUUUUACACCAGUUUAAAAGCUUGAGUGACUAAUUAAAGCUUAAUUAUGAAUUCAACCAUAUUUUACUUAAGUUAAUCAAUCAUGUAACUACUGAAAGUAUAUGAUUCAGUUACCUUUUUGAAAAUGAGUACCUUUCUUUUUUAUUAAGGAUCAAGAACAUUCAUGCUAUCAAUUUUUCUCAAUGAUGAGGCAUUUCAUUUUCUUUCGUUGUCAAAUAGUGUUCUCUGGUGGUUGCAAAGUAAUACAUAUGUAUAUAGAGCAGGUCAUUAAUAAACAAUCUGUUUGGUUCUAAUUUUUUGAUAAUUCGGUAUUAUUGGAAAGAUAAUGUGGACAAGGAGCUGUUAACUCUUAUUUAUAUAAACAGAUGCAUAAAAUUUGUUUUGCACGACAAAGCUUAUAUGUAUUUGGUUAACAAUGCGAGUAUUCUGAGUUUUGUUAAUUCAGUAAAAUGUAUUGUAGGUCAUUAAAUUUUGACAUCCGUUUCACUAAUACUGCUUUUAUUCUCAGCAAAUAUAACAUGACCUUACAUUUUUUGAACUUUCAUCUGAUACUGUUUUCUAUAGAGAAGAUAAUCAUCGCAGAAAACUCAAUCUAACGAUACUUUUCCUGCUACUAAAAGCAUUCUCUUAACCUUCAACUUAAGUAAGUGCUGCAUUUUUAUAUAUGUACAUGGUUUACAUAGUUUUUAACCAUUACAUCACCCAUUGUCUAUAGCUGUGUGUUGUUUCUAAUUGCUUACUGUACUGAAAUAAUUGUAUUUAAUCAUAUUUUAAUAAGUGAAGUUUGUAAAAUUGGUUUCCAGGUAUGGUUAAGCAGUUAAAAGGUUUGUUUAAUAAUUUGAAGAAAAAGAACAUAAAUCACUAAUGUAACAGGUAUGUCACAACUUCAACAAAUAGGUUUCAAGAACAUGUAAAUACAAGGAUCCAAGAGUAUGUCAAAUAAAUUAACGUUUUAUUACUUUUUUUUUAUUACUUUUCUACAUUUAAAUUCAAUAUUUACUGACCUUUCUCCUCAGGGGAAUUAGUUACUACUAAUUUAUAUACAGACUAUCUUCUAUUUAUCUAAUCUAAAUACAUGGCCUUGCCUACACAUUGAGAGGUUAAGUUAAACAUAAAAAAGUAGAAAUAUGCCAUCUCCACAUGCUUUAAUUAAGUUAAGGAACAUCUUACCAAUAGCAGAAUUGUUAAAUCUAUCCAUGCACCGUUGCUGUUAUUCAUUGAUUAGAUUUAAUAAUUCUUCUAUACGUAAUGUAUUCUUUCGCUAAGUUAAAGCAUGUAGAGACGGUGUAUCUUUGGUGGGAACAUUUGUACUCAUACUAUUCCAUGUUUAUCUUAAACCUUUUAAUGCAUAGAUAAAAAAUUGGCCAUACAUUUAGGGUAGGUCAAAAUAAUAAAGUUUGUAUAUAAAUUGCUAAUAGCUAAUUCCUUUGAGGAGAAAAGAUGGAAAUGAUGAUUUUUCCUCCGAAUAAUGGAGCAUAAAAAACAUCUCUAUAUUGCAGAGAGCAACCUAUUUAGCUAAAUCUGAUCCAUCCUCUUAAUAUGCAUGGUGUGCAGUUUCUGAUUUUUAAUCAAACUUCACACUAUUAUUUUCAUUUGGUAAUAGGUUUUAUAAAAUUUGCCCAUCCUCUUAAUACACAUGGUGUGCAGUUUGUGAUUUUGUACAUAGUUUUAUAAUCUUUAAACAUCAUUUCAUCACAUUUUGGGAAAUGAUGUAACCAUUUGUCUCUUCACCGUCUUAAAUUGUAUAAAAUUAACCCUUUAUUCUGUUCAUGAAAGUACAACGGUGAACUGACAUUAUGUAAAUUCACAAUCCGAGUAAGUCCUCGAUUUCACAUAUUUUAAUUUAUUUAUACUUUUGUUCACAUUAAUCAAUAUUAUACUGCAGUUUGAAAUCUAUGAUAUACAUCUAUCUACUUUCAAACCUAAAUUCUACAUCUAUUAGAUCAAAUUAAAAAACCCCUACAAGCUUAGAUAUAUAUUUAUUUAGCUCUCUGUAUUAAGAAUUUAUGGGUGUUGUUCUUCUCAUUUAAAAAAAAAAUUAAAUUUAAUAUAUUCAUGUACUCUGUUUGGAUACAUUGAAAGUAUAAUCAACAAUAAAUAUUUAAGUCUGUGACAUCAGGCAAUUUAGCAUGGUUACUUGCUGUUCUCUUCAAGGUCAGACAAAGUUUAUCUUUGUAAAUAUAUGUAUCUUACCAAAAACCAUAAAUGAUACUACAGAUCUUUUUUUUUCCUCUAAUUUUUUUAAUUUUUUAAUUUUUUAAUUUUUUUUAACAAAUGCUUCUCAACAAUUGAGCCCUUUUUGUCACUAUUCAUAUUGCAGGAGUUGAGCUUCCACAAAUUUCAGGGCGUUCAAACUUUAUCCUCUCGAAUGAAAUGGUAAUGAAAUUUCUUAAAAUUAUAGUUUAUUACUAUAAAAGAUGACUUAUGUUCUCAGCCUCAUAAUCUAUGUAUGUUUACACAUUAUCCAACUUGCUUUGCUUCUACAAAAUCAAAAUACUUAUAUCCGCCUACAAAAUUCUGUUGAAGAAGAGAGAUUUUUUGUAACAUCCCACAUCGCCCAGGGGAGUGAUCCUUAAAUAUAUAUUCUCAUCCCUACCUAGCACGAGGCAUUUUGGGAGCUCACUGGCUUCGGGUUCCAUAG